UCUUCCCUCUUUCUUCGUGCUUAACACAUGCAAGUCGAACGGAAAGGCCAGUGCUUGCACUGGUACUCGAGUGGCGAACGGGUGAGUAACACGUGGGUGAUCUGCCCUGUACUUCGGGAUAAGCUUGGGAAACUGGGUCUAAUACCGGAUAGGACAACUUUUUGGAUAUUGUUGUGGAAAGCUUUUGCGGUAUGGGAUGAGCUCGCGGCCUAUCAGCUUGUUGGUGGGGUAAUGGCCUACCAAGGCGUCGACGGGGAGCCGGCCUGAGAGGGUGUACGGCCACAUUGGGACUGAGAUACGGCCCAGACUCCUACGGGAGGCAGCAGUGGGGAAUAUUGCACAAUGGGCGCAAGCCUGAUGCAGCGACGCCGCGUGGGGGAUGAAGGCCUUCGGGUUGUAAACUCCUUUCGCUAGGGACGAAGCUUUUUUGUGACGGUACCUGGAGAAGAAGCACCGGCUAACUACGUG
RNAcentral lists this ribosomal RNA (468 nucleotides) under uncultured bacterium. Its description in RNAcentral is "partial 16S ribosomal RNA". It matches the Rfam family "Bacterial small subunit ribosomal RNA", at positions 36 to 507 of the family's 1533-position model. The record is from RNAcentral.